ACGAAAACUGGGGGAUUGCGUGGGUGGGAUGAAGGGGGUGCUUCAGGGGACAGGGCCUCGCCUCCCUUGAGCAGACGCAGCUCCCCCCCACCCACUCUCCGGGCGGGGCGCGGCACGUGGGCAGGUGCCAUCCCGCGCCCUAAAAAUAACGGCAGGGAACUAGGUCGCGGCCGCGGGGAGGCGGCCCCGCAGCGGCUGCCCGACCAGGGGUCUGGAGUAGCCCCCAGGGGGAAGAUAAAGGGCACUGAAGUGGCCAUGGAGGUGCGCCAUGGAAUAUGAGGCCCUUGGGAAGCCUCUCUGCAAGACUGGAGAGGCCAACCCCGAAGUGGGGGAGGAGAGCCAAACCCUCUUUCAUACCACUGUUCAAGAGAUUGGAGCUGGAGGCAUGUAGAGCCCAGGGCCCAUAACUAAAGCAAUGUGCUACCCCCAGGGGCAUUCAGGUCACUGGGCUGACUGUCUGGCCCAACCUGUCUUAAAAUGGAGGGCGUUAGCGCCUGAGGAGUUACAAGGAACUCUCUCACUGUGCUUAGACUGACAGGAGUCCCAGCAUCCCACUCCCAAGACACAUCCCUGGAGCCCACAGCCAGGGACCUUCUGACUGCAGACUAAUCUAGGGAUAAGACCUGGCCAAUCCCCCAAAAGCUUGAUCAUCCUGGGACCCCUCAGCACCCCCAGGGCCCAGGUUUGAGCCAGUGGUGCAGAUGUCUCAGGAAUUGGCAUCAGAGGUUUGCAAGCUUUCAGCCUCUGGAAGAUCUAAACAUCUGAGGGUGGGAGUUAAUCGGGGUAAACAAUUUUCAGACUCGCACUGGCUCUCUCACUGAUUCUCUAAAUUCCAGAAGAGUUCUAGGGUUGGGAAAGGAUCAGUCAUUGAAUCUUACACACAGCUUUCAUUUCACAGAUGAAAAAACUAAGGCCCAUAGAGGGAAAAUGACUGCCUGUGGACAUAACACCAGUGAAUGGCAGAAUUUUGUCUAGCAUCCUGUUUGCCUCACUUCAGUUUAGGACUCGUGUCAUCAAUAGAACUUAUAAAAUCUGUCUUGCCUCCAUAAAAGAGACAAGGGUGCAGUCAUAUCCAAGCCCCUCAGCAGCUGCUGAUCAUUAGCUCCUGAAAAAAAGAAAAGAAACAGGAACUAGGUCUGAGAUGCGCUUUCUUCCUUUUCUUGUGCUCAGGCUUCAAAAUUGCAGGGCUAGAAUGGACUCUUGGCUUGCAACUGAAAGGGAAGCCUCCAGAAAACAUGCAACGAUCCUAAAGAGCCAUUCGUAUACCUGGAGACCAAGAUAUAGGACAGCACUUUUUCAGAACCAUGGACAGGGCCCAAGGCUCAGCUUUACUUGUAUUGAUAAAAUUUGUCAGUGGCUUCAGUUUGGGUCAACCGUGGAGUCUUCAGCAACUGAUUCAAAGAUGCCUCUGAGGGACCUACCGACCAAGUAUUGCUGCCACUUGGUUUUUCGGAUACCCAAAGGACCCUAAAGGGUGAAGAGUUAGCUAUUCAGACAAGUUGUGGGCAUGGGUAUUCUUGGCACUCCCAAAAAGAAAACCACCAAAAGGGUAAGAUGAGUUUGGUGACAGAGGUUAAAAGAAUAGCAGAUGAGAAGGCCAGUGCUCAAAAAUUUUUAAGCAUUCCACUACACCUACACACACACACACACACACACACACACACACACACCCCAGCAG
Long non-coding RNA from Sapajus apella (tufted capuchin), 1678 nucleotides. RefSeq lists it as uncharacterized. Lineage: Eukaryota; Metazoa; Chordata; Mammalia; Primates; Cebidae. The transcript is spliced from 2 exons. The record is from RefSeq and is a predicted model, not a curated record.